RNAcentral lists this long non-coding RNA (1177 nucleotides) under Homo sapiens (human). Its description in RNAcentral is "HSALNT0366037". Lineage: Eukaryota; Metazoa; Chordata; Mammalia; Primates; Hominidae. The record is from RNAcentral.
AUUCCCCCGAGUCGGCCCGCGGGCUACGGCCGCCUGCGGAGCGCAGGAACCUUCACCUCCCGAGGACAGGCGCCUUCCCCUCGGGACCCGGCUCCCCUGCUGCCUGCGCCGCUCUGUCCCCCUGCCGCUGCCCAAGCCUCCAGCAGGGGCCACCGAGGGCUCCAGGAGCACCCCAGGCCCGUUCUUCUGGCCCACAGCGCCCCUCCUGUGACCCUCAGCGACCCUCCUGUCCUGCCCUCCGGCGGCGCGGCUGUCUGGAGACUCUGCACCGUCGCGGCCUCGCAGCCUCGCAGCCCCGCGCCGGGUGGGGAGGGGAGGGUGGCGUUCCUGAGUCCGCGGAGGAAAGGGUCGCAGCUGCAGUCGCGCCAGCCCUCGGGCCUACAUCCGCUCCGCCGCGACGCGGCUCACAAACUAGGGAGGGGAGAAGGGAAGAAAGACCCGAUUCGGGAACACGGCUUUGUCCCUGGAACUGUACCUCAUGUCCCCUCACUUAAUCCUCCCAAGACCUGUGGGGCGUGUCGUCAUUUUAGGGCUGGAGAUGAGGAAACCGAGGCUCGGAGAGAUGAAGCGUUGUACGGCCACCGAGCGGCUGCUUUGCAACGAAGCCAAAGCCAACGUUUUGUUCUUAGCGGCGGUCGUUUGAGCCACGCCUCACCGCAACGAGUCUGCCAUCAGCCAAGAGGUCACAUCUUUUCUGGAACUCGCUCCCCCCUCACAUCAUGGGAGCAGUCAGUCUACUCUUCCAGUAGAAACUGUUUUGCCACUUUUGGGGGGAAUCUUGAGCUACCAGCUCAUCGCUCAGGUCUUAGAUGACACUUUCCUUGACCCCACCGGGUGCUCCAGCGCCUCUGCUUCCGGUUUUCAUAGCCCUUAUAAUAUCACCUAUUGCAAUUGCCCAUUUCCUUGUCUGUCUCCCUCUGCAGAUGGAGUGAAGGUACCUGAGCGCAGGAACCAUGGUCUUCAUUGCUGCCUCAGCAUUAGCGGAAGUGCCACGGGCCGGCUCCCAGGGGGCCAGAGUUUCCCAGGAACACCAUUGAGUACCACUGAACUAGAGUCUGCAAGUUAAAGUAAGGCAAGAAGGAAAACCGGAAACAACUGUAAAAACCUGACCUUUCGUCACCUUAAUACUGGCCAUCAUUUAUCGAGUGCUUAUUAUGUAACAGACAUUGUUCUCAGU